CAAAGUCAGCAGGGCUGGUAGCAAAUGGCAUUUUGCGUGUAAGGGGGCAGGUGUGGUUGUAUCCAGCUGGAAUACAGCAUCAACACUCACAUGAAUUAUGCACACAAAACAUGAUCGGGAAGCAGUCAGUUUUAAGAAGGAGUUGGCAGUUUUAAUCAGGCUAAUAGGAUAAGCCUUUUUUCACACUUCCUCCUCGCUCCUGCCAUUUGGAAGUAUUUUCCCUCCCCGAAUUGAAUCUUUUGAGAACUGCGGCAGGAGUUUUAGUGCCUACUAGCUGCAGAGUUGCUGGGGAAAAUGUGUGAAAGGGGAACGUAGGAAGACAGGAAGAGGGAAGAGGGGAAGAGAGGACGCCUACAGUAGACGACAUGCAGAAGGAGAUACUUAUUGCAUGCAAGCCAAUGCAGAAGGAUACAGAGAAAAAGCCUCAGGACAAAAGGCUGCCUGACACAUCAAGAUCAAAAUAUCCUUACAUUGUAUGUAUCUAUGUACGUAUGUAUGUAUGUAUGUAUGUAUGUAUUUAUUUAUUUAUUUUUAGGGCAUUUGUUUACACUGUGGAAAAUGCUGUAAAUUGAAUACAUUGUAAGCUUGGAGUGCUGGCUACAGUAGCUUUAGCAUUACAGCAUGGUUUGUAGCACUGUUGCACGUCUACUCCUACUACAAUUAUGUAAUCUGUCUGAUCCUAAAAGGGUCUAUGCAUGAUAUUCAGCUUGGGAGUCAGUCUAAUGAAUCCGUUUUUAUUCAUGGGCAAGAGGGGCUCCUACUUUCCUCACUAAUUUCUGUGACCUUUAUGAACAGAAUAACACUCCAUUGUUCAACCAUAUGGCAAAAUAAUUGAAUCAAUUCCAUUGCUGUAACAAUGCACAAUGUUUUUCCAAGCAAGAUGAAUCUAGAAAAUAAAUAAAGCAGGAAAUGACAAACAAGCAAAAUGUAGUCCAAGGAUGAACUCUAACAUCACAUUGAUUAAUAGAGCAACAUGUGUAAGUUUAACCUGAUGUUGUUAAGGUAAGUGAUUGAUAAUCAUACUACAAAUUACAAGUAUAACCACAAUCCUGAAGUCUAUUUAUGUUGCAGCUAAUUACACUAAAACCAAACAAUAGCAGAAGAGUUAUUUGAUUUGCUCCAUUGAUCCAGUGAGAUGCUUAAAACAGACAUCCAUGUAUGUAUUUUCUAAAUCCAUAAUUGAUGCCUGUUUCAAAUUAUAUUGACAUUUCCUUAAAGGAGACUUAAAGUUGCUGUGAGUUAAUAGCACGUAAAUGAAACGUUAUUUCAUUUGUUUGUGUUAAUCACAUGGAAGUCAAAGGGUUUACCCCACUCCAAUAGCUUUAAUGCUUUACUUUUUGUUAAUAUUAAUAUUGAUAUGUUCCUGUAUUAAGCACGAGAGAUUAAUGCCAUCUUAUUGACUAAAAAAAUGCACCCCUUCACUGUCUUUUGGUUUAUAAAAUUAACAUUAAAUAUGAAGAAAUGUGUCACUGUAUGUUCCAGACCAUGACGCAUAUUCAAGCUGACUACCCAGCUAUAUACGUAUUUAUAACACGUAAGAAAAUAUGGGCAAAAUGCUGCACUAGAAGCAUGAGAAGUAACUUCUUGUUGCUUUGUUGAUUCUUAGUAUGAUAUCUGAUGAUAUGUUGAAGCAUGGUAAUGAGAGAUGUUUCAGGCAGCUGUUCCUUUCUGGAUUGUUUUUUUUUUUAAUCCAAGAAUGUCCCCCAUUCAUGUACCUGAGAAGGAAAGGGGGCAGGGGGGGGCUUCACGUUGGCGAAUACCGAGGGGACGGAUUUGACAGAUGCUUUUGCCAAUGACCACAUGCCCCAAAUAGCAGAGGUGCUGAACUGCAGAUUUAGGCUUUUCCCCCCAACAGCCCCAAAUGAAGGUACGGGGGGGGGACCUCUGGACAAAGGUUGUGCUGAGAGUGGAGAGGGGCCAUGGUGCUGCCGUAAAAGUUUAAUUUAUGAUGGAUGAUUGCGGGAUAAAGGUCGCGGUGUGAUAAAUAUGGGAGCGUUUGUCUGGGGAGCUCAUCAAUAACGUUGCAGCUACCAUAUUUCGAUCUGGCGCCGAAAUGGAUAUUUUUGAUGUAGGAAAACUAUCUUUCAGAAAACGCGGAUGUAUUAAUCAAAGGGGAGGCAUCAGCUACCCAGUAUUGUAGCCCAGAAAAAAGAUGGGCCUCAUUAGCAGUAGUUACAUCUUUUGCUCUUUAAUCGCAAGAUAAAUCCUACAGCCAGCUUACUCAGUUUCAGCUGCUAUCUUUCAGUCCUUUUUGUUUAUACAUGUUAACAUGUUACUUGGUUCCCACACAAUAAAGUCUGAGCAAGUUAUAAACAAAUGUAUUAGCUCUGAAAGAAAUCUCGUUG
Molecule: non-coding RNA, 2345 nt
Organism: Paramormyrops kingsleyae
Lineage: Eukaryota; Metazoa; Chordata; Actinopteri; Osteoglossiformes; Mormyridae
Source: RefSeq, a predicted model, not a curated record